Molecule: unclassified non-coding RNA, 430 nt
Filed under: soil metagenome
Description: partial contains 5.8S ribosomal RNA, internal transcribed spacer 2, and large subunit ribosomal RNA
Rfam family: 5.8S ribosomal RNA (bases 1-120)
Source: RNAcentral
GAUGAAGAACGCAGCGAAAUGCGAUACGUAAUGUGAAUUGCAGAAUUCAGUGAAUCAUCGAAUCUUUGAACGCAUAUUGCGCUCUCUGGUAUUCCGGAGAGCAUGCUUGUUUGAGUAUCAGUAAACACCUCAACUCCCUUUUCUUUUUUGAAAUUGGAGCUGGACUUGAGUGAUCCCAACGCUUUCUUCCAAGAAAGUGGCGGGUUGCUUGAAAUGCAGGUGCAGCUGAACUUUUCUCUGAGCUAUAAGCAUAUCUAUUUAGUCUGCCUAAAAAACAGAUUAUUACCUUUGCUGCAGCUAACAUAAAGGAGACUAGUUCUUGUGCUGACUGAUGCAGGAUUCACAGAGACAGCUUCGGCUGACUUUGUAAACUCGAUCUCAAAUCAAGUAAGACUACCCGCUGAACUUAAGCAUAUCAACAAGCGGAUGA